This 68-nucleotide transfer RNA is filed under the name Typhlatya mitchelli. RNAcentral describes it as "tRNA-Trp". Lineage: Eukaryota; Metazoa; Arthropoda; Malacostraca; Decapoda; Atyidae. The record is from RNAcentral.
AAGGUUUUAAGUUAAAAAAACUAGAAACCUUCAAAGUUUCAAAUAAAAGAUAAAUCUUUUAAACCUUA